This 435-nucleotide long non-coding RNA is filed under the name Phoenix dactylifera (date palm). RNAcentral's name for it is "long non-coding RNA (PDAC_LNC019595)". The record is from RNAcentral. Lineage: Eukaryota; Viridiplantae; Streptophyta; Magnoliopsida; Arecales; Arecaceae.
AGGGGUGGCAAAAUAUGACCCGACCCGCCAACCCGACCCGCGUUCGACCCGCCAUAAAUAGGUUCGGGUUUGGCCUAAACAGGUUCGGGUCGUAAACAGGUUGACCCGUUUAACCUGUUUAUUAAUUGGGUCGGAUACGGAUUUUAAAUGUCUUGACCCGUUUAACCUGUUUAACCCGUUUAGAUUGUAAUUGGGCUGCUGCCGUUCAUCUAAGAUCAGGUGGUUUAUAAUCACUAGGAGUUCUCACAAACCCUAGGUCCCUAAGCGUUUUCUAUUCCCCGUGCGCUGUGCAGCCAUGCGGCCGUGUCGUGCGAGGGCUUGGAGUUGGAAGCACCGAGCACGCGAGUCCGAGAGGAGGGGAAGAUCGCCGCGGUUAGGAGGAGGGGAAGAUCGCCGCGGUUAGGAGGAGGGGAAGAAGAUCGCCCCGAGUCUGAG